GACGAACGCUGGCGGCGUGCUUAACACAUGCAAGUCGAACGGAAAUGCCCUGCUUUUGUGGGGUGCUCGAGUGUCGAACGGGUGAGUAACACGUGAGUAACCUGCCCUUGACUUUGGGAUAACUUCAGGAAACUUGGGCUAAUACCGGUUAGGAGCUCCUGCUGCAUGGUGGGGGUUGGAAAGUUUCGUCGGUUGGGGAUGGACUCGCGGCUUAUCAGCUUGUUGGUGGGGUAGUGGCUUACCAAGGCUUUGACUGGUAGCCGGCCUGAGAGGGUGACCGGCCACAUUGGGACUGAGAUACGGCCCAGACUCCUACGGGAGGCAGCAGUGGGGAAUAUUGCACAAUGGGCGGAAGCAUGAUGCAGCAACGCCGCGUGCGGGAUGACGGCCUUCGAGUUGUAAACCGCUUUCGCCUGUGACGAAGCGUGAGUGACGGUAAUGGGUAAAGAAGCACCGGCUAACUACGUG
Molecule: ribosomal RNA, 468 nt
Filed under: uncultured bacterium
Lineage: Bacteria
Description: partial 16S ribosomal RNA
Rfam family: Bacterial small subunit ribosomal RNA
Source: RNAcentral